GACGAACGCUGGCGGCGUGCUUAACACAUGCAAGUCGAACGGAAAGGCCCUGCUUUUGUGGGGUGCUCGAGUGGCGAUCGGGUGAGUAACACGUGUGUAUCCUGCCCUUUUCUUUGGUAUAUCUUCAGGAAACUUGGUCUAAUACCCGAUAGGUUCUCCUGCUGCUUGUUUGGUUUUGGUUAUUUUCGGCGGUUGGGGAUGGACUCGCGGCUUAUCAGCUUGUUGGUGGGGUAGUGGCUUACCAAGGCUUUGACGGGUAGCCGGCAUGUGAGGGUGACCGGAAAAAAGGGGACGGAGAUACGGAAAAGAAGGAAACGGGAGGAAGCAGAGGGGAAUAUUGCAAAAUGGGAGGAAGCAAGAUGAAGAAACGAAGGGAGCGGGAUGACGGCCUAGGGGUUGAAAAAAGAUGUAGAAUGAGAAGAAGAGUGAGUGACGGUAAUGGGUAAAGAAGCAACGGCUAACUACGUG
RNAcentral lists this ribosomal RNA (468 nucleotides) under uncultured bacterium. Its description in RNAcentral is "partial 16S ribosomal RNA". It matches the Rfam family "Bacterial small subunit ribosomal RNA", at positions 28 to 507 of the family's 1533-position model. The record is from RNAcentral.